This 330-nucleotide ribosomal RNA is filed under the name uncultured bacterium. Its description in RNAcentral is "bacterial SSU rRNA". It matches the Rfam family "Bacterial small subunit ribosomal RNA", at positions 8 to 334 of the family's 1533-position model. The record is from RNAcentral.
AGGGUUCGAUUCUGGCUCAGGAUGAACGCUAGCGGCAGGCUUAACACAUGCAAGUCGAGGGGCAGCGCGGGAUAGCAAUAUCCUGGCGGCGACCGGCGGAAGGGUGCGUAACGCGUGAGCGACAUGCCCGUUGCCCGGGGACAACCGGUGGAAACGCCGACUAAUCCCCGAUGGGAUACGAUGCUUCAUGGCAUUGUAUUGAAAGUUACGGCGGCGACGGAUUGGCUCGCGUCCGAUUAGCUUGUUGGCGGGGUAACGGCCCACCAAGGCUGCGAUCGGUAGGGGUUCUGAGAGGAAGGCCCCCCACAAUGGGACUGAGACACGGCCCAU